AACGAACGCUGGCGGCAUGCCUAACACAUGCAAGUCGAACGAGACCUUCGGGUCUUGUGGCGCACGGGUGCGUAACGCGUGGGAACCUGCCCUUAGGUUCGGAAUAACUCCCCGAAAGGGGUGCUAAUACCGGAUAAUGUCUUCGGACCAAAGAUUUAUCGCCUUUGGAUGGGCCCGCGUUGGAUUCGCUAGUUGGUAGGGUAAAAGCCUACCAAGGCGACGAUCCAUAGCUGGUCUGAGAGGAUGAUCAGCCACACUGGGACUGAGACACGGCCCAGACUCCUACGGGAGGCAGCAGUGGGGAAUAUAGGACAAUGGGCGAAAGGCUGAUCCAGCAAUGCCGGGUGAGUGAUGAAGGCCUUAGGGUUGUAAAGCGCUUUUACCCGGGAUGAUAAUGACAGUACCGGGAGAAUAAGCUCCGGCUAACUCCGUG
This 433-nucleotide ribosomal RNA is filed under the name uncultured bacterium. Its description in RNAcentral is "partial 16S ribosomal RNA". It matches the Rfam family "Bacterial small subunit ribosomal RNA", at positions 29 to 507 of the family's 1533-position model. The record is from RNAcentral.